Ornithodoros turicata is the source of this 551-nucleotide long non-coding RNA. RefSeq lists it as uncharacterized. The transcript is spliced from 3 exons. The record is from RefSeq and is a predicted model, not a curated record. NCBI's taxonomy places the organism in Eukaryota, Metazoa, Arthropoda, Arachnida, Ixodida, Argasidae.
CUACGAAACGCAGAACCUUUUAGGCUAGCUCCAAAGGCUGCAAGGGCCACUCCACUCUGAAGGUGCUAGCGGGAGACAUAAUGCCUGGCAGUCUGAACAAAUGACUUGGACACCAAGGCGUUAAUAACACGAGACUGGCACCAAAGACAAAACGAAGCUCGGACACCGGAAACUGAAUGAGUGAAGUGUCGAAACCUGGGCCGCCGCGUAUCUUGGGGCACCAACUUCACGCUCAGUUGACGCAGUUGGACGACGGGCCUCUCCCUAGAAGCGGUCUCUCAGCUGUGACACGCGCUGAUUGGGCGAUUUUCUCAAACACAUUGCCAGCUACCAGAGGGAGGAAACCCCCGCGUGCGACAGGAAAACAAGACUGGAAGGAGACACAUGCUCUACAUCACUGCAUUUCUCACGUGACAGGUGACCCCGUGAGUCAUUUGCUAUCAUCGUGGCUCGGGAAUGUGAACGUAUUAGUGAAAAGGAAAGAUAAACUGGCGUGGCCUUCGAUAAACCCGUAUAUAUUAUCAUAAUCAUGUUGAAAUAAACCCACGUUG